UUGACAUAAUUUUAAAGACAACUUUUGCUUUUCAGGUAUCAUUACGAUGGAAUAUACAUCAAGAAAACUUCUUUCUUCUAUGCCCAGUAUUCAUACCUGCUGGGUGAGAAAAGCUGUCCCAGUGAAGAUGCUGUUGCCUUUGAAAAGUCUACUGACUACAGCAGCAUUAUUCAAGAGGAAGAAACCUGUGAAAACCGUUCACCGAUAAAGACAGACCCCGCUGGAUCUCCUCUGUCUGAAUUCAGAAGAUGUCCAUUUUGGGAGCAAGAGCUGGCAAAGAAACACUCCUAUAAAAUGAUGGCUGGCCUUGCUGACAAAUACUGCGACUAUUGUCAGGACAUCUUACAAAACGUGAGGAACCAAGAGCUCCAGAGGGUGGAGGACUUGCUCACAUCCUUCUGGAGAUCUCUGCAGCAAGACACUGUCAUGCUCAUGUUACUGCCUGACGUGCACCAGCUCCUGAAGUGCUAUGACGUCCAGCUGUACAAGGGAAUCGAGGACGCUCUCCUUCAUGAUUUCUUGGAAGAUGUUUCUAUUCAGUACCUGAAAUCUGUCCGGAUAUUUAGUAAGAAAUUUAAGCUGUGGCUUCUUAAUGCUUUGGAAGGGUUUCCAAC
This 614-nucleotide long non-coding RNA is filed under the name Ictidomys tridecemlineatus (thirteen-lined ground squirrel). RNAcentral's name for it is "lncRNA (ENSSTOG00000030853.1)". The record is from RNAcentral. Lineage: Eukaryota; Metazoa; Chordata; Mammalia; Rodentia; Sciuridae.